This 868-nucleotide long non-coding RNA is filed under the name Dromaius novaehollandiae (emu). RNAcentral describes it as "lncRNA (ENSDNVG00000003880.1)". Lineage: Eukaryota; Metazoa; Chordata; Aves; Casuariiformes; Dromaiidae. The record is from RNAcentral.
AUGAUCGCAAUUACACUGCAAGUUAUUUUGAUAAUGGGUUUUGACUCCUUAGCUACAAGUCCAAAGAAUUUAUCAGUCAUCCAGACACCGACGAAAGUAYACUUAUCAGUUGGAGACUCCACUGAAAUUGCAUGUAUUUGGGAAAAAAUCAGUUUGAUUGAGAGGUAUAGAGUAAGCUGGUAUCUUGUCAAUGAAGAGAACAUCACAAAGACUGUAACAUCGGACCUUGUCUACAUGUCCAAUGUCGCCCGUGAAAACAAGGAUGUGCUAGUGAUAGAAGCUGCCAAUGUAAAUAACACUGGACUUUAUUACUGUGAGGUAAUUAUUGAAAUACCUUUCUGUGAAAGAGUAUAUGGAAGUGGAACGAUGCUGACUGUUGGGAAGAAAGCCUUCCCUCAACACUGUAGAUUUCAGGAUGAGUGAGACAAACGCAAGGACCUGAAUGACUCUUUGCAGCAAUCCACUUAUCCUCUCUGCCUCAAUACCCUCAUUGCAAAGUGUUCGUUUUCUUGUAUAAGGGUUUGCUGAGAGGAAUCAUUACUGUUAGCGUGUGCAAAAUCUGUGUAUCAGCUAUGUAUUUCACAGAAGACCCAAACGCCUUUCCUUCCUAGAAGAGAUUCGGUAGGCUAGGUGUGAGACAAGGAAGGAAUCUGCUGUGUGGUAAGGAGCGGCUGAAACAAUCGCAUGGUUACUCUGUUCAGUAAUAUGCAGAUCUUACUAGCCUGGGGGAAAAAUUAAGGUCCCAGUUCAGAAUUCAGCAUUGGUAAGCAUUAGUACAAUGAGUUUUCAAACAUAGUUGUUUUUAGGCAAUAGGGAUGACACACAUUUCACCUAACUUUAGAGAAAGAAUGUGUCAUACCUAGAGGAC